AGCGAGCGCUGGCGGCAGGCUUAACACAUGCAAGUCGAGCGGGCGUAGCAAUACGUCAGCGGCAGACGGGUGAGUAACGCGUGGGAACAUACCUUUUGGUUCGGAACAACACAGGGAAACUUGUGCUAAUACCGGAUAAGCCCUUACGGGGAAAGAUUUAUCGCCGAAAGAUUGGCCCGCGUCUGAUUAGCUAGUUGGUGAGGUAAUGGCGAACCAAGGCGACGAUCAGUAGCUGGUCUGAGAGGAUGAUCAGCCACAUUGGGACUGAGACACGGCCCAAACUCCUACGGGAGGCAGCAGUGGGGAAUAUUGGACAAUGGGGGCAACCCUGAUCCAGCCAUGCCGCGUGAGUGAUGAAGGCCCUAGGGUUGUAAAGCUCUUUUGUGCGGGAAGAUAAUGACGGUACCGCAAGAAUAAGCCCCGGCUAACUUCGUGCCAGCCGCCGCCGUAA
Molecule: ribosomal RNA, 451 nt
Filed under: uncultured bacterium
Lineage: Bacteria
Description: partial 16S ribosomal RNA
Rfam family: Bacterial small subunit ribosomal RNA
Source: RNAcentral